UCCUCGUUUAAGCGAGGCAGUCUGUCCAGAGUGCUCCAGUCUCUCGACCGGGUGGCAACAGGACACAAGGGUUGCGCUCGUUGCGGGACUUAACCCAACAUCUCACGACACGAGCUGACGACAGCCAUGCAGCACCUGUGCACGCUCCCCUUGCGGGGUCGUUGCCCUUUCAGGCUCCUACUACGUGCAUGUCAAGGCCAGGUAAGGUUCUUCGCGUUGCAUCGAAUUAAGCCACAUACUCCACCGCUUGUGCAGGCCCCCGUCAAUUUCUUUGAGUUUUAAUCUUGCGGCCGUACUCCCCAGGCGGGGCACUUAAUGCGUUAGCUUCGGCACGGAACCCGUCGAUAGAGCCCCACACCUAGUGCCCAACGUUUACGGCGUGGACUAC
RNAcentral lists this unclassified non-coding RNA (388 nucleotides) under uncultured bacterium. RNAcentral's name for it is "contains 16S-23S intergenic spacer region". The record is from RNAcentral.